This 415-nucleotide ribosomal RNA is filed under the name Dendropoma sp. RNAcentral's name for it is "partial large subunit ribosomal RNA". It matches the Rfam family "Bacterial large subunit ribosomal RNA", at positions 1969 to 2620 of the family's 2925-position model. Lineage: Eukaryota; Metazoa; Mollusca; Gastropoda; Littorinimorpha; Vermetidae. The record is from RNAcentral.
UUGCCUUUUAUUAGAGGCUGGUAUGAAUGGUUAGACGGAAGAGUUGACUGUUUCUUCAAAAUUUUAAGAAUUUAAAUUCUAGGUUAAAAUGCCUAGAUAUUAUUGAAAGACGAGAAGACCCUAGCGAGCUUUAUUUUUAACGCUAGAAAUAAGUAGAUGUUUAAACUUUUGUUGGGGCGACUGAGGAGAUGGAGCUUCCUUUAUAAAAUGAAAAAUAAUGGUUAAGGAUCCAGUGUAAUUACUGAAAAACAGGGGAGCUACCGUAGGGAUAACAGCGUAAUCCUUUUAGAGAGUUCUUAUCGAAAAAAGUGUUUGCGACCUCGAUGUUGGACUAGGAUAUCCUAAAGGUGUAGAGGCUUUUAAGGGUUGGUCUGUUCGACCAAUAAAAUCCUACAUGAUCUGAGUUCAGACCGGA